This 1042-nucleotide non-coding RNA is filed under the name Perkinsus marinus ATCC 50983. Its description in RNAcentral is "Eukaryotic large subunit ribosomal RNA". It matches the Rfam family "Eukaryotic large subunit ribosomal RNA", at positions 1059 to 2112 of the family's 3401-position model. The record is from Rfam by way of RNAcentral. Lineage: Eukaryota; Perkinsozoa; Perkinsida; Perkinsidae.
CAAACUUUAAAUGGGCAGAUCCAGUAGUACUUAAUUGAACUAUUGGGGUCAAUGAGACGACUCUAAGUGGGCCAUUUUUGGUAAGCAGAACUGGCGAUGAGGGAUGAACCUAACGCUCGGUUAAGGUGCUAAACUGCUCGCUCAUCAGAUACCACAAAGGGUGUUGGUCGAUCUUAACAGCAGGACGGUGGUCAUGGAAGUCGAAAUCCGCUAAGGAGUGUGUAACAACUCACCUGCCGAAUCGACUAGCCCCGAAAAUGGAUAGCGCUGAAGCGAGUGACCGAUACCGGGCCAUUGUUGCAAGAUAAUUGGCAACAAUGAGUAGGAGGGCGUGGGGGUUGUGAAGAAGCUUGGACGUGAGUCUGAGUGAAACAGCUUCCAGUGCAGAUCUUGGUGGUAGUAGCAAGUAUUCAAUAAGAGAACAUUGAAGGCCGAAGUGGGGAAGGGUUCCAUGUGAACAGCACUUGGACAUGGGUUAGCCGAUCCUGAGAGACAGGUUAAAUUCCAUCGGAUUGGAGCUUUGGCUCUGUUUCUCGAAAGGGAAGCUGGUUAGUAUUCCAGCGCCGAGACGUGGAUAAUAUGUGGCAACACAAGUGAACUCGGACACGCCAUAGGGGACCCCAGGAAGCGUUGUCUUUUCUUUUUAACAGUUCGACUUACCCUGGAAUCAGAUCAUCUGGAGAUAGGGUUUUCGAACUGGAAUAGCACCUUGUCUAACAGGGUGUCUGGAGUGUUCUCGCUGGCCCUUGAAAAUCCGAGGGAUAGAUUUAUUCGCACUCUCGAUCGUACCCAUAACCGCAUCAGGUCUCCAAGGUUAGAAGCCUCUGGUCCGUAGGACAAAGUAGAUAAGGGAAGUCGGCAAAAUAGGUCCGUAACUUCGGGAAAAGGACUGGCUCUGAGGUUUGGUAUGUGGAACCUGGAUUAAUCGUUGGAGUCGAGCAGAGACUACUUGUUGCUCACGUGACUUGUGGACUCCUUGCUUGAUACCUUCAAUUGAUCCAGGCUGCUUCGGCGCUCUGCAUGCACUAACAAACAGCUCAGA